UUAUCCCUGCGGUGCGCGUGGAUCAUGAGCGCUAAUACAGGCGAAUCCAACAAUCACUGCGAACGGGGUCCGCGUUUGGGGCCGGUGUGCUGCCCCGCCAUCUGGCGGGGUUUGCCUGAAGGUUUCAAUAGGAUCCCACCCUGCUAAAAAGGGGUUCAGCCAUGUGCGCGGCAGCACGGCACUCGCGGGGCUUCU
This 195-nucleotide non-coding RNA is filed under the name Candidatus Omnitrophota bacterium. Its description in RNAcentral is "Candidatus Omnitrophica bacterium (groundwater metagenome) 6S RNA". It matches the Rfam family "6S / SsrS RNA". From Rfam's summary of the family: E. coli 6S RNA was the first non coding RNA to be sequenced, but its function was unknown until recently. The record is from RNAcentral. Lineage: Bacteria; Pseudomonadati; Candidatus Omnitrophota.